Molecule: long non-coding RNA, 249 nt
Filed under: Sorghum bicolor (sorghum)
Lineage: Eukaryota; Viridiplantae; Streptophyta; Magnoliopsida; Poales; Poaceae
Description: long non-coding RNA (SBIC_LNC006899)
Source: RNAcentral
CUUGCUUCUAGAGAACAUGGGCUAUCUUUUCUUCUUUUUUUCUCUCUUCUUAUUUUAGGUGGGUAGUAGCAUACCCCUAAUUCUACUGUCGGACACUUGUCCAUUUUUUUCCACUCAGGUGGGUAUCUUUGUACCCCUAAUUCUACUUCGGACACUUGUCCAUUUUUACCUCUCGUCUCACUCCUUUUUUUCUUUUUCUCGAGGUUCGGGGCACUUUCCCCUUUUAUUUUCUCGGAUAUCUUUUUGCAU